Molecule: long non-coding RNA, 1501 nt
Filed under: Homo sapiens (human)
Lineage: Eukaryota; Metazoa; Chordata; Mammalia; Primates; Hominidae
Description: HSALNT0393547
Source: RNAcentral
UCACUAGGCUCAUUCCCAAAGUAAUGCCUCGCCCUCACAGCUAAGUGGAAACCAAACCAGCCACCAGAGAAAUGGAAGUUAGGCCAUUGUAUCAGUCAGGAUAUUCUUUUAAAUAACCAGAGGGCUUUGUUGUCUCUUAGAAUUGGAAUGUCAAGUGGGAAGAUAAGUUUCAGGGGCUGUUUGAUUGAGCAACCCAAAAAUGUCAUUAAGAAAAGAUCCGGCUUCUUUCCAUCUCUCCACUCUACUUUUUACAGGUCAAUGAAUCCAAGUUGUUUUUGUUUUGUUUUGUUUUCAUUAUGACAAAAUGGUGGCAGCCAUUCUAGACUGACACGCCACAGCAGCUGGAAGAAAGACACGAUCUUUUCCUCUGAUGCCUCUCUCAGAAGCAUUCCAGUUUAUGUCUUCCUCUUGCCUAUUUGAGGACUAAAGUCAAAAUGUCUAUACCAUCCUGUACAGCCACAUAUGGGUCUUGAGCACUUGAAAAGUGACUGGUCCAGCUUCACAUGUGCUCACUGUACCAGCCUCUGGAGGAAAUGCAAGAGACCUUCCAGACCUGAUCACCACACCCUAUUCAUAAUCUCGCCAUGGAGAAGAGACAUCCACUUAUGAAGCCAGCAGAACAGAUGUGGGCAACUUUCAAAAACGAAGUAACAAAUGGUCAGCUCCUGUUCUUCUGUAGUGCUGAGGAUGGAAGGAGAAAGAGUUCACACAGAAUGGGACCCUAGCGAUAUGAAAGUCAAGAAAAAUUAGGUUACCCAAGUCAUUGUCUUGCAUGCAACCAAACAAUCUUGAGUGAUCUAACAGAAUAUUAAGAAGUAUAAGGUAUCAACACCCUACUAUAUAAUCAGCUGAAGAGGGCCAUGGCCGUAUGACCCAGGUCUUGGGUUAGUUGAGUAGUUAUACCAGCUAACCAGAAGUUGGAUUAUUUUCCAAUGACAUGAUUCUGUCACGGCAUUGAUCUGCAAGCCAGAACCCGAUACGUAGUGUCCUACUAGAGCCAGAAUACCCCUUUUUAUGACCAAGGAACCAGAGGUAUAGUGAUUUCCAGAGUGGUACUUGUACCUGCAUCCAUUCAUUGCACAGACCUGCCUACUAGAAUGAAGGAGCAGCCACCCUACUAGCAAAAUGGCCCUGCAGUGAUAUAGGGCUUGAUGAGUAACAAUGCGUGUGGCCUCUGGAUCAAGGAGUUAAGAACUACCUGAACAUUGAAACCAAAACCAAAGCCAGAAAGUCCCUAUUCCAAAGGAAAGAGGCAAAGGGAAGAAUCCAGGUAAAAGCAUCAUGACAGAAUCCAGGAUGUUUCAGGAGUAGGCAGCAGUCACUGCUCUCCACUCUUACCCAAGUCAGCCUCUCUCUUCCCUCAGAUCGCUAACUUGGUUCCUGAGCACUCCAGGAGCUGACUAUAAAGUUGGUGAAUAAGAUGUAUACAAAUGAAAGAAUAUCUACAACAAAGAGCAGGGUUUUUUUUAUUUUCCUUUUUACUUUUUUAGGUUUUUUUUAA